Molecule: transfer RNA, 72 nt
Filed under: Ictidomys tridecemlineatus (thirteen-lined ground squirrel)
Lineage: Eukaryota; Metazoa; Chordata; Mammalia; Rodentia; Sciuridae
Description: Spermophilus tridecemlineatus (thirteen-lined ground squirrel) tRNA
Rfam family: tRNA
About the family: Transfer RNA (tRNA) molecules are approximately 80 nucleotides in length.
Source: Rfam by way of RNAcentral
GGGGAUGUGGCUCAGAGGUAGAGCACUUGCCAAGGAUGUGUAAGACCCUGGGUUCAAUCCCCAGCACCACAA